Alnus glutinosa is the source of this 965-nucleotide long non-coding RNA. RefSeq lists it as uncharacterized. NCBI's taxonomy places the organism in Eukaryota, Viridiplantae, Streptophyta, Magnoliopsida, Fagales, Betulaceae. The transcript is spliced from 2 exons. The record is from RefSeq and is a predicted model, not a curated record.
UUUAUUUUCAAAUUAAAUUAUACUUAAUUUGACUCUUUCACGAUUCAUGCAUAUAUAGGCCUUAGCCCUUUGUUAAUGGAAUUGUUUUCAACAUUUCAACUCUCAUUAGUAUAGAAGAAAAUUUUCUAGAGAUAAAAGGGAUCGCCAUGGAGAGAAUUGGUACAAAAAAAUUUAUGGCGGUGACAACCAUGGAAAUGGCGUUGAUGAUGCUUGUGAUAAGUGUAACAAAUGCCGGUAACUCUCUCGUUCCCUCCCACCAUCCUCCGUCUGUCCCUAGCUCGCCACUUCCGAUUCGCUUUUUUUCUCUUCCUCUUCCUCCUCUAUCGCGCCGCCUUCUCUCUCUCCAUGCACAUAACGAUGUCAUGGCAGCCAAUUUGGUUGAUGGAAUCUUUAAAAUUCGUAAAACCCCUAAAGUUCUUGAAACUUCUAAUAAUUAUGGAACUGGUACAUCUCUUGAAAUCUCUAAAUUUGAAAAGUUGGUAGCUCAAAUUCCUAUAUUUUCUAAAAUUCGUAUGCCUAAACUUAAUCUUAUGGGGAAAAUGUUUACUGGCAUGAUGAUUUGUGACAUGAUUUGUCCAUCUGAUCACGUAUCCGGAGCUUGUUCUUAUGCAUGUCACCCGAUUUCUACCUUAGAAGGAAAAGCCUUGGCUCCGCAAAAUGAACCAUGAGCACCAAUUCAAUCUGAUGUGGAUUAAUUAAGCAGAAUGCUAUGCACCAGCUACGACUGCUCAAUAAAAAUCAUUGUCAACUUACUAGUAUUUUCUUUACUUAUUGAUGAAAAGUUGUACUUCACAUGUACUAAUUAAGAAUAAUUGUGGCCAACAUUUUUUUUGCAUGUGUCAAUUAUUGUGUCAUGUCAUCCAAAGGGCACAUUCCCUCUUUUGUUGGUUGUAUUUGCACUUAUUUGAUUGUAUUUAGCUUAUUGUUGGGUGGCUCUGUCCUUUUUUAUUAUUUGGUUUGAUGUA